CCUACGGGUGGCAGCAGUGGGGAAUAUUGGACAAUGGGCGAAAGCCUGAUCCAGCCAUGCCGCGUGUGUGAAGAAGGCCUUCGGGUUGUAAAGCACUUUCAGUGGGGAAGAAAGCCUUGGGGCUAAUACCCUCGAGGAAGGACAUCACCCACAGAAGAAGCACCGGCUAACUCCGCUGCCAGCAGCCGCGGUAAUACGGAGGGUGCGGGCGUUAAUCGGAAUUACUGGGCGUAAAGCGCGCGUAGGCGGUCUGAUAAGCCGGUUGUGAAAGCCCCGGGCUCAACCUGGGAACGGCAUCCGGAACUGUCAGGCUAGAGUGCAGGAGAGGAAGGUAGAAUUCCCGGUGUAGCGGUGAAAUGCGUAGAGAUCGGGAGGAAUACCAGUGGCGAAGGCGGCCUUCUGGACUGACACUGACGCUGAGGUGCGAAAGCGUGGGUAGCAAACAGGAUUAGAUACCCCGGUAGUC
This 466-nucleotide ribosomal RNA is filed under the name Vreelandella stevensii. Its description in RNAcentral is "partial 16S ribosomal RNA". It matches the Rfam family "Bacterial small subunit ribosomal RNA", at positions 338 to 795 of the family's 1533-position model. The record is from RNAcentral. Lineage: Bacteria; Pseudomonadati; Pseudomonadota; Gammaproteobacteria; Oceanospirillales; Halomonadaceae.